ACCUUAAUGCAACUUCCGCCAACGGGAACGGUCACAAGUCCGUAUGAAUGCAGAGUGAGGA
Molecule: non-coding RNA, 61 nt
Filed under: unclassified sequences
Source: RNAcentral